ACACUCUGGUUUCUCUUCAGAUAGCAGACAUUUUUCGCCUUCUACUAAAGCUGUCCGUGGAGAGGAACAGUUAUACGUUAAAUUUCAAAA
Molecule: non-coding RNA, 90 nt
Organism: Alligator sinensis (Chinese alligator)
Lineage: Eukaryota; Metazoa; Chordata; Crocodylia; Alligatoridae
Source: Rfam